UACGUAGGGGGCAAGCGUUAUCCGGAUUUACUGGGUGUAAAGGGAGCGUAGACGGCUGUACAAGUCUGAAGUGGAAGCCCGUGGCUCAACCGCGGAACUGCUUUGGAAACUGUAAAGCUGGAGUACUGGAGAGGCAGGCGGAAUUCCUAGUGUAGCGGUGAAAUGCGUAGAUAUUAGGAGGAACACCAGUGGCGAAGGCGGCCUGCUGGACAGAAACUGACGUUGAGGCUCGAAAGCGUGGGGAGCAAACAGG
RNAcentral lists this ribosomal RNA (253 nucleotides) under uncultured bacterium. RNAcentral's name for it is "partial 16S ribosomal RNA". It matches the Rfam family "Bacterial small subunit ribosomal RNA", at positions 524 to 776 of the family's 1533-position model. The record is from RNAcentral.